CCUUAAUAUAGGUAAGAAAUUUCCGUUGAAUCAAAUGGGAUUUGGUUCUAGGAAUUAGUUGUCUUCAGUCCUCGUCGAGUCCCAAUGACAUAGGAAGAUUACAUACAGUUAAAUAUAAGAUCCCAUUAGAUUCCAAGUGUUUGGUCAGCUUUCACAGCUACAAGUUAAACACAUCUUAACACAAACUACAUAUCAAGUGUUAUCCAAGUCCACAUCGGUUAGACCAAAAACUAGAACCACCAUUGGAAUUAUGCAUUAGUAUCUCUGCCCAACAGGCAUUCCUAGUCUGUCCAAGCGACCGGAUCCCGGAUAAGCUUUGCUAGUAAAGCUUGCACGCAAGGCGGAAGCCCUCUGUGCACUGCUCGAUCUUGGCUCACCAAAGCCAUGAAUUGUGUACCUUUUUGUUGAAGUUGAUCUCUCAUAUUGAGGCCUUUGCUUUGGAGCACUAAGAGAUCUUACUUUAGCCCUUGAUGAUUCAGUGUAAGACAUGUAAUUUGGGUAGUAGUCCGAGUAGCCGCUUAGAAAGCUUGCUGAGCCAUCGCUCUUACUGGGAGUGAAGGGACUUCUUCUACCACCACCCCCUCUUGAUGAUGUGGAGUAGAACUGUGGGCUAUUUUGAGCAGUGCGAAAAGCUUCCUCAUCCGCACGUGGAAAUUUCAAAGGACUUAAAGACUGGACUUCACCAGAUGAUGGACUUGGAACUGCUUGAUGGUUUGUGGAGUCCUUCGAAGUUGUGAAGCUACGACUAUAUUGAUCUGAUGCCACGGCAAGAUAAGAGGAGUGGAAAAGGUUUCUGUGUUUAGGAGUGAAGUAGGUUUUUCCUGUAUCAACUUCAAGGAUCUUGUCACUCUUCUCAUCAUCUAUAGUGCUUGUUCUUGUCAAAGGAACUCUUUGCUCCCAUGAUCUUUCAUCCAUCCGACGUCCUGACCAAUUAAAGGAUAAGUGUGGUUUGUCUUCAUCAAUAAUUGCCCUGCCAUUAGAUUUUGAUCCAGUCCUCUGCAUUUUUGAAAGAGGUGCAUCAGGCAUGAAUUAUCACAUUUAAAUUCUCUAAAUAGCCAGUCAAAGAAAACCAAGGAUACCUUGAGAAUUGAUGACUGCUCAUAUUUUCCACUCCUAGCUCGUAUUGCAUGUUCAAAUUUUUCAGGGGUGGGCGGACCCUGCAAAUGGUUUAUAGUUUAAACAUGAUCACUAACACGUAUUAACUGAAGUUGCUCAACCAUGGAUCCAAUUUAUCUUCAAGAAAAGAAUUCCAAAGUAAAUGCAACUCUCAACUCAAAAUUGAUUAAAUUACAUCAAAGCAACCAAUUGUCCCCUUUAGAAAACAUAUAUGAUGACGUCCAUCUAGUUCUUUUAAUGCACAGUAGAGCUAUAAUUGAAGUUCCAGUUUAAUGAAUAACAACAUACUGGCAAAUUGAUGUGUAAGAACUACUAUCUGUGUUCAAAACCAAUGAAUUAAUGCACGUAUUCAGAAGCUGUCUAGAGCAAAAUAAAAGAGGAGGUUAUCUCGAGCACUAAGGAAAAGGAGCCCACAAUGCACCACCCAUAAAGUACUUGUUCGCUUCUCAAAAUGUUCCCAGAAAAAAGAAUUUAAAUAUUGGAGGGAAAAUUAAAUUUUACUUACAGCAGGGUGGUGGGAGUGAGAAGACUUGCAACUUGAAUGUGAAGAUUCAGAGACCUGUAUCCGUCCUGCACGUGCUCGUGCCUGGGCUCUCAGUAAUGCUUGCAUACGAUGAAGCCAUGCAGCAGUUCGCUUCCUCUCAAUGUGACCUCUUACCAAUGCCUGAAGCCUUACUAAUGCUUUCAAUGCUCGCAAUGCCCUUCUUGCCAAGUAGCCACGGAAUGCCGCUUGUAUCUUAACGGCAGCCCAAUCCUCACGCCACGCAUGGCUCCCACUAACGUACGUUACUGGUGGAUUGUUAGCGCACCUUCCGCUACUUGUCAAUCUCACAACCUCUGCAGCCGCAUGAGCCGCUGCCACGGCAGCUUCCGCAACUGCAGCCGUGGCAGCUGCUACUGCGAUCGCGUGCCUGUUAGGUUCCUCCUCGUACUCCGACGAACUCUGAACUGUUACGGAACCCUCCUGGCCAUCCAAAACUCCGUGCUGCUGGUGAUCUUUCUCGCUGUAUGAUUUCACAAAGCUCCAUCUCCGUUUCUCCUUCAAACGACCCGUGGUUUGCUGCUGCCGUUCUGACGAAGGCGUGACGGGUUUUUUAAGCCCGAGAACGGCCCGGAACCACUUGGAGGCUUUACCCAUUUGGCUUGGGUCAGCAAUAGUGAAACUGCAGGGGCUUGGAGGCGUUUGAGAUAGGAUGCAUUCGCACAGAGGAGAGAGGGAUAAAAGAGUGACAGGAAUAAGGGAACGUGAAGGUGCGUAGUGGGAACCGUGAGUCGGUGAGUGAGAAAAGAGCGUUCUGC
This 2415-nucleotide unclassified non-coding RNA is filed under the name Hevea brasiliensis (rubber tree). The record is from RNAcentral. Lineage: Eukaryota; Viridiplantae; Streptophyta; Magnoliopsida; Malpighiales; Euphorbiaceae.